Molecule: transfer RNA, 77 nt
Filed under: Oscillospiraceae bacterium
Lineage: Bacteria; Bacillati; Bacillota; Clostridia; Eubacteriales; Oscillospiraceae
Also listed under: 1 other name
Description: tRNA-Arg
Rfam family: tRNA
About the family: Transfer RNA (tRNA) molecules are approximately 80 nucleotides in length.
Source: RNAcentral
GCCCCGAUAGCUCAGUUGGAUAGAGCGUCCGCCUCCUAAGCGGAAGGCCGCUGGUUCGAAUCCAGUUCGGGGUGCCA